AUUGAACGCUGGCGGCAGGCCUAACACAUGCAAGUCGAGCGGCGCGGGGGACGGGUGAGUAAUGCCUAGUAAUCUGCCUGUUAGUGAGGUAUAAAUUCCGGAAGCGGGAGCUAAUACCGCAUACUAUCAGAUGAGCCUAGGUCGGAUUAGCUAGAUGGUGGGGUAAAGGCUUACCAAGGCGACGAUCCGUACGUGGUCUGAGAGGAUGAUCCGUAACACUGGAACUGAGACACGGCCCAGACUCCUACGGGAGGCAGCAGUGGGGAAUAUUGGACAAUGGGCGAAAGUCUGAUCGAGCCAGGCCGCGUGUGUGAAGAAGGUCUUCGGAUUGUAAAGCACUUUAAGUUGAGAGGCGUUACCAACAGAAUAAGCACCGGCUAACUUCGUGCCAGCAGCCGCGGUAAUAC
RNAcentral lists this ribosomal RNA (407 nucleotides) under uncultured bacterium. RNAcentral describes it as "partial 16S ribosomal RNA". It matches the Rfam family "Bacterial small subunit ribosomal RNA", at positions 30 to 526 of the family's 1533-position model. The record is from RNAcentral.